Molecule: ribosomal RNA, 394 nt
Filed under: Staphylococcus aureus
Lineage: Bacteria; Bacillati; Bacillota; Bacilli; Caryophanales; Staphylococcaceae
Description: partial 23S ribosomal RNA
Rfam family: Bacterial large subunit ribosomal RNA
Source: RNAcentral
CUUGUACAGGAUAGGUAGGAGCCUUUGAAACGUGAGCGCUAGCUUACGUGGAGGCGCUGGUGGGAUACUACCCUAGCUGUGUUGGCUUUCUAACCCGCACCACUUAUCGUGGUGGGAGACAGUGUCAGGCGGGCAGUUUGACUGGGGCGGUCGCCUCCUAAAAGGUAACGGAGGCGCUCAAAGGUUCCCUCAGAAUGGUUGGAAAUCAUUCAUAGAGUGUAAAGGCAUAAGGGAGCUUGACUGCGAGACCUACAAGUCGAGCAGGGUCGAAAGACGGACUUAGUGAUCCGGUGGUUCCGCAUGGAAGGGCCAUCGCUCAACGGAUAAAAGCUACCCCGGGGAUAACAGGCUUAUCUCCCCCAAGAGUUCACAUCGACGGGGAGGUUUGGCACCU